AGAUUGAACGCUGGCGGCAGGCCUAACACAUGCAAGUCGAGCGGCAGCACGGGUACUUGUACCUGGUGGCGAGCGGCGGACGGGUGAGUAAUGCCUAGGAGUCUGCCUGGUAGUGGGGGAUAACGGCUCGGAAACGGACGCUAAUACCGCAUACGUCCUACGGGAGAAAGCAGGGGGACCUUCGGGCCUUGCGCUAUCAGAUGAGCCUAGGUCGGAUUAGCUAGUUGGUGAGUAAUGGCUCACCAAGGCGACGAUACCGUAACUGGUCUGAGAGGAUGAUCAGUCACACUAGGAACUGACGACGACGGUCAGACCUCCGUACGGGAGCAGCGAGGUGGGAAUUAGUGAACAAGUGGGACGAAAGCCGUAGACUCCAGACCAGUCG
Molecule: ribosomal RNA, 385 nt
Filed under: uncultured soil bacterium
Lineage: Bacteria
Description: bacterial SSU rRNA
Rfam family: Bacterial small subunit ribosomal RNA
Source: RNAcentral